RNAcentral lists this long non-coding RNA (759 nucleotides) under Rattus norvegicus (Norway rat). Its description in RNAcentral is "long non-coding RNA NONRATT005278". Lineage: Eukaryota; Metazoa; Chordata; Mammalia; Rodentia; Muridae. The record is from RNAcentral.
UAGGCCACUUCCCAGAAUAUCAGUGCCUGUGGCAUUGUGACUAGGCCCCAGUCCCCAGAGAGGUUCGGGCUGGGCUGGAUGCGGAGGUGCUGGUAGUCACACACACCCUGCCACAGGUGGGCUCCUUCUUCAUGAUCAACCUGUGCCUGGUGGUGAUAGCCACACAGUUCUCAGAGACAAAGCAAAGGGAAAACCAGCUGAUGCGAGAACAGCGGGCCCGCUAUCUGUCCAACGACAGCACUCUGGCCAGCUUCUCAGAGCCCGGCAGCUGCUACGAGGAGCUCCUCAAGUAUGUAGGCCACAUCUUCCGGAAGGUUAAACGCCGUAGCCUGCGUCUUUAUGCCCGCUGGCAGAGCCGCUGGCGUAAGAAGGUGGAUCCCAGCAGUACCGUGCAUGGCCAAGGCCCUGGGCGGCGGCCACGACGGGCAGGCAGGCGUACAGCUUCAGUGCACCAUCUGGUCUACCACCACCACCACCACCAUCACCACCAUUACCACUUUAGCCACGGUGGCCCACGCAGGCCCAGCCCAGAGCCAGGUGCUGGUGACAACAGGUUGGUCAGGGCCUGUGCGCCACCCUCGCCGCCAUCCCCAGGCCAUGGGCCACCAGACUCUGAGUCUGUGCACAGUAUCUACCAUGCUGACUGCCACGUGGAGGGGCCGCAGGAACGAGCCCGAGUGGCACACUCCAUAGCCACUGCUGCUAGCCUCAAGCUGGCCUCAGGUUUGGGUACCAUGAACUACCCCACCAUCCUACCUU